Molecule: non-coding RNA, 72 nt
Organism: Phrynosoma platyrhinos (Desert horned lizard)
Lineage: Eukaryota; Metazoa; Chordata; Lepidosauria; Squamata; Phrynosomatidae
Source: the annotation of a GenBank genome assembly
GCCAAUAUGGUGUAGUAGUUUGAAUGUUGGACUAUGACUCAGGAGACCAGGGUUCGAAUCCCUGCUCUGCCA